AUUAAGCUCACCACGGGUCCUCAUACGCUGAGCUUGGGGCUCUCCUUUGACACUACACAUCCUCGAGGACUGAGCCCCAGCUCUUUCCUUCGAUCUCCUGAAAUCUUCCCAGGGGUUUUAGGGAGGGAGCUGUCACCUACUACGACUGGUGGCCCAGAGACUCAGCUAAUGUCAUUCUCCCAACCCCAGCUGACAGCACUGUUUAGAAUGGUCAUCACCAUUCCCCUGCCUUCCUCUGGCAUUCUUACCUCACAUAGAAUCCGCAUUUCUAAGGAGAUGGCUGGGACCCCGCCCGUCGCUAGUUCAUAAUUCCUAGAAGCUGCUGACUACGUGCUCCAAGCCCUUUCCGUUCAGUUACUGAAUGCUUGCUGAACAGAUGUUUGGAUACACUUUGCCCAUCCUUGCAGGAUAACUGAGUGGUACGUGGUUCCUGGCCCUGGGUCUCUUGGACUGUGCACUGGGACAGAAAGAUAAGGUAGCUGCUGAGCGCAUAGCCCAGGGUGAUGAUGUCAUCACCAAUGAGAGAGAGAACGUCCCUAGUCGCCUGGGUAGAGGGUAGACUGGGGACAGUCAAAGAGACCACGGCUGUCAUGCUGGGACUUUAAACCAAAACAGAGACAAAGAAAAAGGAA
This 632-nucleotide long non-coding RNA is filed under the name Rattus norvegicus (Norway rat). RNAcentral's name for it is "long non-coding RNA NONRATT010324". Lineage: Eukaryota; Metazoa; Chordata; Mammalia; Rodentia; Muridae. The record is from RNAcentral.